This is a long non-coding RNA of Daphnia pulicaria, 405 nucleotides long. RefSeq lists it as uncharacterized. The record is from RefSeq and is a predicted model, not a curated record. The transcript is spliced from 3 exons. NCBI's taxonomy places the organism in Eukaryota, Metazoa, Arthropoda, Branchiopoda, Diplostraca, Daphniidae.
AUUUACGACCACUUCGCUUUUCUCAUUCCCGUCCCUGAUGAAUCGGCCAACAUCAACGCCGUCGUCAAACCGUUUCAAUGGCCGGUUUGGCUGGGACUGGGGGUAUCAAUCGCCUGCGUCAUCGCAGUUUUAAAUGUAAUCCAGCGCUACUUGGAAUAUCGAUCCGAAUUCGAAAUGGAUUUUAAAACCAGCAAUAAACCACAGUCAGAAAAUUUAGCAAACGACAAUCAACUUCGUUUCAAGAAAUGGCCAAUCGGAAAGCAUUAUCUCUACGUUUUUGGCAAUUUGCUUUCACAAGGUGGACUCUGCCCAUCGAAACGACUACCUUACCGACUAGUCGCUGGAGUGUGGACCCUGGCCGCUUUCUUCUUCGUCCAGUCCUACACGUCGACUCUCUUCACUUAC